GUUUGCACUGUUUUGGCUUCUCCAGCUGAAACCUGAAGGCUGUCGGUGAUGAAACGGACUCCGACUGUUCCUGAUGCAGAGAACUGGAUCCAUUUCAUCACGGGGAACACAGAUGGAAAAACAACAGAGCUAAUCAGAGCUUCUACAACUAAGAUGGAAUUUUUCUGCGUGAGAGAAAGAAAAACUGUGAGGAGUGAGGAUGAGGACGAGGCUGAUGCGGCUCUACAGGCUGUUUGAGUCGACCUACAACAACAAAUAACAACUCUUCAAUCUGCAUAUUUCCUCAAUCGACAUGACAAACUUACUUGUCAGCACAUCACUCAGCUUCUGUGCCACUGCUUCUUCAAACUGGCAGCAGGCAAACCCAAAUCUACUGCAGGUAACACACUGACUGUGGAUAAG
Long non-coding RNA from Seriola aureovittata, 402 nucleotides. RefSeq lists it as uncharacterized. The record is from RefSeq and is a predicted model, not a curated record. NCBI's taxonomy places the organism in Eukaryota, Metazoa, Chordata, Actinopteri, Carangiformes, Carangidae. The transcript has 3 exons.